Long non-coding RNA from Salvia splendens (bonfire salvia), 1060 nucleotides. RefSeq lists it as uncharacterized. Lineage: Eukaryota; Viridiplantae; Streptophyta; Magnoliopsida; Lamiales; Lamiaceae. The record is from RefSeq and is a predicted model, not a curated record. The transcript is spliced from 2 exons.
AAGAGGGGUAGAAUGUAACGACCCGCUAAGCCGAUAUUAUUAUAAACAAUAUUAUUAGCUUGAUUACCUAUAUAGGCGACUUUUUGCGUAAUUAAUUUCGAACUACGAUAGAGGGUUGUUUACGAUAGAGUGUCGUUGUUGUUUCUAACGUCAGCCAAGUACAAUAUAUAUAUAUAUAUAAAUAUAUAUAUAUAUAUAUAUAUAUGUAUAAAUAAAUAAAUAAGAUCCCAAAAUCAAAAUUUUAAUGUCCGGUACAUCCAAUAAAAGUCCAACAAAAUUUAAUCUAUACAUCCUGCAUUCUAAGCAAAUCGGGAACUUCAACGCGGACAACCACAAACUUGAACCGAUUAUACCUACACCAAAUUAAAUGAAGAAGUGAACAAAUACUAAAACAAUUACUUUAAUAAACAAAUAAAAUAUAAAAAAAAGGAGAGAGAAAGAGCAGAUCCAAUGGAUUUUUUUUUAACAAAGCAUUUAAUGCUACAUUUAAGUAGAGAUAAGAAUGUUAGCAGCUUGCUGCCCACGCCACUUGUCAUCCUUAAUCCUUAAGUAUGCCUAAUCAUUUAGGCAUAUCACUUUCUUUCACUCACCCCAUCACCAUCUAAAUUCUCUGUAUACACCAACGUGGAUAGAUGAUAGAGGAGUCGAGGAAGGAGAAUUUCACACAAUCGUACAAUCAAACGAAGGCAUGCAGAACAUAUUGUGCAGAGUGUUGCGUCUGGAAAUGAUACGACUCAUAACAUAUGUUGGUAUGGAUUCGAUGGUGGAGCGAAAUCCAUGGAUGCAUCAGGUGUUGAACUGGAUGACGCUUCCAACAUCACAACGAAAUCUCCAAUCAUAAUAAUUUUUGGUAAACCCUUUUCUUACAAGAUGCUCCUUCACCUUAUCAGCAAAAAAAAAUUCAUAUUAUCACAAUGUGCGCAUGGAGAUCUAAUUUUUGAACCAUCCAUUCUAGAGGGAUGUUGCAUAGCAUAACUUAUAAAGUUAUCUACUCCGUUAAUGAAAUCAAGAUUGUUCUCUCCGGUAGCAAAUUUUCUCUUAUACAUCAACUCUGUUCCUG